AGCGAACGCUGGCGGCAGGCCUAACACAUGCAAGUCGAACGAACCUUUCGGGGUUAGUGGCGGACGGGUGAGUAACACGUGGGAACGUGCCUUUAGGUUCGGAAUAACUCAGGGAAACUUGUGCUAAUACCGAAUGUGCCCUUCGGGGGAAAGAUUCAUCGCCUUUAGAGCGGCCCGCGUCUGAUUAGCUAGUUGGUUGAGGUAAUGGCUCACCAAGGCGACGAUCAGUAGCUGGUCUGAGAGGAUGAUCAGCCACAUUGGGACUGAGACACGGCCCAAACUCCUACGGGAGGCAGCAGUGGGGAAUCUUGCGCAAUGGGCGAAAGCCUGACGCAGCCAUGCCGCGUGAAUGAUGAAGGUCUUAGGAUUGUAAAAUUCUUUCACCGGGGACGAUAAUGACGGUACCCGGAGAAGAAGCCCCGGCUAACUUCGUG
This 434-nucleotide ribosomal RNA is filed under the name uncultured bacterium. RNAcentral describes it as "partial 16S ribosomal RNA". It matches the Rfam family "Bacterial small subunit ribosomal RNA", at positions 29 to 507 of the family's 1533-position model. The record is from RNAcentral.